CUGCAGCCCGAGUGGUGGUCGAUUUUAUUGAGCCUAAAGCGUCCGUAGCCGGACUAGUAAACCCUUGGGUAAAUUGGGCAGCUUAACUGUCCAAAUUCCGAGGGGACUGCUAGUCUUGGGACCGGGAGAGGUCAGAGGUACUCAAGGGGUAGGGGCUAAAUCCUGUAAUCCUUUGGGGACCACCAGUGGCGAAGGCGUCUGACUAGAACGGAUCCGACGGUAAGGGACGACACCCUGGGGCGCGAACCGGAUUAGAUACCCGAGUAGUCC
RNAcentral lists this ribosomal RNA (270 nucleotides) under uncultured archaeon. RNAcentral's name for it is "partial 16S ribosomal RNA". It matches the Rfam family "Archaeal small subunit ribosomal RNA", at positions 477 to 747 of the family's 1478-position model. The record is from RNAcentral.